RNAcentral lists this ribosomal RNA (497 nucleotides) under uncultured bacterium. RNAcentral describes it as "partial 16S ribosomal RNA". It matches the Rfam family "Bacterial small subunit ribosomal RNA", at positions 28 to 507 of the family's 1533-position model. The record is from RNAcentral.
GAUGAACGCUGGCGGCGUGCCUAAUACAUGCAAGUCGAGCGAACAGAUGAGGAGCUUGCUUCUCUGACGUUAGCGGCGGACGGGUGAGUAACACGUGGAUAACCUACCUAUAAGACUGGGAUAACUUCGGGAAACCGGAGCUAAUACCGGAUAAUAUAUUGAACCGCAUGGUUCAAUAGUGAAAGACGGUUUUGCUGUCACUUAUAGAUGGAUCCGCGCCGCAUUAGCUAGUUGGUAAGGUAACGGCUUACCAAGGCAACGAUGCGUAGCCGACCUGAGAGGGUGAUCGGCCACACUGGAACUGAGACACGGUCCAGACUCCUACGGGAGGCAGCAGUAGGGAAUCUUCCGCAAUGGGCGAAAGCCUGACGGAGCAACGCCGCGUGAGUGUUGAAGGUCUUCGGAUCGUAAAACUCUGUUAUUAGGGAAGAACAAAUGUGUAAGUAACUAUGCACGUCUUGACGGUACCUAAUCAGAAAGCCACGGCUAACUACGUG